ACUCCUACGGGAGGCAGCAGUGGGGAAUAUUGCACAAUGGGGAAACCCUGAUGCAGCCAUGCCGCGUGUGUGAAGAAGGCCUUCGGUUGUAAAGCACUUCAGUAGGGAGGAAGGUAGUGUAGUUAACACCUGCAUUAUUUGACGUUACCUACAGAAGAAGCACCGGCUAACUCCGUGCCAGCAGCCGCGGUAAUACGGAGGGGUGCGAGCGUUAAUCGGAAUUACUGGGCGUAAAGCGCAUGCAGGCGGCCUGUUAAGUCAGAUGUGAAAGCCCGGGGGCUUAACCUCGGAAUUGCAUUUGAAACUGGCAGGCUAGAGUCUUGUAGAGGGGGUAGAAUUUCAGGUGUAGCGGUGAAAUGCGUAGAGAUCUGAAGGAAUACCAGUGGCGAAGGCGGCCCCCUGGACAAAGCUGACGCUCAGAUGCGAAAGCGUGGGAGGCAAACAGGAUUAGAUACCCUGGUAGCA
This 465-nucleotide ribosomal RNA is filed under the name uncultured bacterium. RNAcentral's name for it is "bacterial SSU rRNA". It matches the Rfam family "Bacterial small subunit ribosomal RNA", at positions 335 to 795 of the family's 1533-position model. The record is from RNAcentral.